Molecule: ribosomal RNA, 301 nt
Filed under: uncultured bacterium
Lineage: Bacteria
Description: partial 16S ribosomal RNA
Rfam family: Bacterial small subunit ribosomal RNA
Source: RNAcentral
CAGUCGCCGCGGGAAUACGUAGGUCCCGAGCGUUGUCCGGAUUUAUUGGGCGUAAAGGGAGCGCAGGCGGUUUAGUAAGUCUGAAGUUAAAGGCAUUGGCUCAACCGGGGAGGGUCAUUGGAAACUGGGAAACUUGAGUGCAGAAGAGGAGAGUGGAAUUCCACGUGUAGCGGUGAAAUGCGUAGAGAUGUGGAGGAACACCAGUGGCGAAGGCGACUCUCUGGUCUGUAACUGACGCUGAGGAGCGAAAGCGUGGGGAGCGAACAGGAUUAGAUACCCCCGUAGUCCCUGUCUCUUAUAA